ACGCUCGACACCUACGGAGGCAGCAGUGAGGAAUAUUGGUCAAUGGGCGCUAGCCUGAACCAGCCAAGUAGCGUGAAGGAUGAAGGCUCUAUGGGUCGUAAACUUCUUUUAUAUAAGAAUAAAGUGCAGUAUGUAUACUGUUUUGUAUGUAUUAUAUGAAUAAGGAUCGGCUAACUCCGUGCCAGCAGCCGAGGUAAUCUGAGCGGGCUGGCAAGGC
RNAcentral lists this ribosomal RNA (217 nucleotides) under uncultured bacterium. Its description in RNAcentral is "partial 16S ribosomal RNA". It matches the Rfam family "Bacterial small subunit ribosomal RNA", at positions 328 to 539 of the family's 1533-position model. The record is from RNAcentral.